GAUGAACGCUGGCGGCGUGCCUAAUCCAUGCAAGUCGAGCGAACAGAUGAGCAGCUUGCUCCUCUGACGUUAGCGGCGGACGGGUGAGUAACAAGUGGAUAACCUACCUAUAAAACUGGGAUAACUUCGGGAAACCGGCGCUAAUACCGGAUAAUAUAUUAAACCGCAUGGUUCAAUAGUGUAAGACGGUUUUGCUGUCACUUAUAGAUGGAUCCGCGCCGCAUUAGCUAGUUGGUAAGGUAACGGCUUACCAAGGCAACGAUGCGUAGCCGACCUGAGAGGGUGAUCGGCCACACUGGAACUGAGACACGGUCCAGACUCCUACGGGAGGCAGCAGUAGGGAAUCUUCCGCAAUGGGCGAAAGCUUGACGGAGCAACGCCGCGUGAGUGAUGAAGGUCUUCGGAUCGUAAAACUCUGUUAUUAGGGAAGAACAAAUGUGUAAGUAACUAUGCACGUCUUGACGGUACCUAAUCAGAAAGCCACGGCUAACUACGUG
Molecule: ribosomal RNA, 497 nt
Filed under: uncultured bacterium
Lineage: Bacteria
Description: partial 16S ribosomal RNA
Rfam family: Bacterial small subunit ribosomal RNA
Source: RNAcentral